GACAGAAACCUCGGUGGAAGAUUACUAAUGAGAGUGGCGAACGGGUGAGCAACGCGUGAGCAACCUGCCUAUGACAGUGGGAUAGCCUCGGGAAACCGGGAUUAAUACCGCAUAAAAUCGUAGAAACACAUGUUUUAACGGUCAAAGAUUUAUCGGUCAUAGAUGGGCUCGCGUCUGAUUAGCUAGUUGGUGAGAUAACAGCCCACCAAGGCGACGAUCAGUAGCCGGUCUGAGAGGAUGAACGGCCACAUUGGAACUGAGACACGGUCCAAACUCCUACGGGAGGCAGCAGUGGGGAAUAUUGCACAAUGGGGGAAACCCUGAUGCAGCGACGCCGCGUGAACGAAGAAGGUAUUCGUAUCGUAAAGUUCUGUCCUAUGGGAAGAUAAUGACAGUACCAUAGAAGAAAGCUCCGGCUAAAUACGUGCCAGCAGCCGCGGUAAUACGUAUGGAGCGAGCGUUGUCCGGAAUUAUUGGGCGUAAAGGGUACGCAGGCGGUUUAAUAAGUCGAAUGUUAAAGAUCGGGGCUCAACCCCGUAAAGCAUUGGAAACUGAUAAACUUG
Molecule: ribosomal RNA, 563 nt
Filed under: uncultured bacterium
Lineage: Bacteria
Description: bacterial SSU rRNA
Rfam family: Bacterial small subunit ribosomal RNA
Source: RNAcentral